ACGUAGGGGGCGAGCGUUAUUCGGAAUUACUGGGUGUAAAGGGUAUGUAGGCGGCCCUUCAAGUCGCGUGUCAAAGUCCAGUGCUCAACGCUGGGUGUGCACGCGAUACUGACGGGCUUGAGGGCUGGAGAGGUGAGCGGAAUUCCCGGUGCAGGGGUAAAAUGCGUAGAGAUCGGAAGGAACACCAGCGGCGCAGGCGGCUCACUGGACAGUAACUGACGCUAAGAUGCGAAAGCGUGGGGAGCAAACAG
RNAcentral lists this ribosomal RNA (251 nucleotides) under uncultured prokaryote. Its description in RNAcentral is "partial 16S rRNA". It matches the Rfam family "Bacterial small subunit ribosomal RNA", at positions 525 to 775 of the family's 1533-position model. The record is from RNAcentral.